CUACGGGCCGCACCAGUGGGGAAUAUUGGACAAUGGGCGCAAGCCUGAUCCAGCAAUGCCGCGUGUGUGAAGAAGGCCUUCGGGUUGUAAAGCACUUUCAGAAGGGAAGAAGGAUAAUGAGUUAAUAGCUUAUUGUAUUGACGUUACCUUCAGAAGAAGCACCGGCUAACUCUGUGCCAGCAGCCGCGGUAAUACAGAGGGUGCGAGCGUUAAUCGGAAUUACUGGGCGUAAAGGGUGCGUAGGUGGCCCUAUAAGUCAGACGUGAAAUACCUGAGCUUAACUUGGGAAUGUCGUUUGAACUAUAGGGCUAGAGUGCAGAAGAGGAGAGUGGAAUUUCCGGUGUAGCGGUGAAAUGCGUAGAUAUCGGAAGGAACACCAGUUGCGAAGGCGGCUCUCUGGUCUGACACUGACACUGAGGCACGAAAGCGUGGGUAGCAAACAGGAUUAGAUACCCUCGUAGUC
Molecule: ribosomal RNA, 463 nt
Filed under: uncultured bacterium
Lineage: Bacteria
Description: partial 16S ribosomal RNA
Rfam family: Bacterial small subunit ribosomal RNA
Source: RNAcentral